This 118-nucleotide ribosomal RNA is filed under the name Pteropus alecto (black flying fox). Lineage: Eukaryota; Metazoa; Chordata; Mammalia; Chiroptera; Pteropodidae. RNAcentral also lists the same sequence under 1 other name. The record is from RNAcentral.
GUCUACUGCCAUGCCACCCUGAACAAGCCUGAUCCUGUCUGAUCUUAGAAGCUAAGCAGGGUCGGGCCUGGUUAGUACUUGGAUGGAGACCACCUAGGAAGACCAAAUGCUGUAGGCA